RNAcentral lists this small nucleolar RNA (133 nucleotides) under Gouania willdenowi (blunt-snouted clingfish). RNAcentral describes it as "U8 small nucleolar RNA (ENSGWIG00000005130.1)". It matches the Rfam family "U8 small nucleolar RNA". Rfam says of the family: U8 is a member of the C/D class of snoRNA which contain the C (UGAUGA) and D (CUGA) box motifs. U8 is the RNA component of a small complex (the U8 snoRNP) which is required for accumulation of mature large subunit ribosomal RNAs, 5.8S and 28S rRNAs. U8 RNA has been identified in human, mouse, rat and Xenopus. The record is from Rfam by way of RNAcentral. Lineage: Eukaryota; Metazoa; Chordata; Actinopteri; Blenniiformes; Gobiesocidae.
UCUUCAGUAAGGUGCAUCCUUACCUGUUACUCCUAUCAUGGAGUAGUAGAACACGAUGAAAGGGGUUCAAUGAGAAAUGAUUCAUAUUUCCAACUUGAUGGGAACAGCAACACCUUUCAAGAUCCAUUCUGAU